This 84-nucleotide transfer RNA is filed under the name Binatia bacterium. RNAcentral describes it as "tRNA-Tyr". Lineage: Bacteria; Candidatus Binatota; Binatia (SeqCode). The record is from RNAcentral.
GGGGCCGGACGCCGACGUCGGGUCGGCACGCGGCUGUAGACCGCGCGUCUUCGGACACGGGGGGUUCGACUCCCUCCCGCCCCA